GAGCAGCAUGAAUCACCAGGGCCCCGAGUCACGGGGACAACUGUUUGCAUUUUUCCUGGGAGGCUGAGCUAUUUUGCUGACUCGGUGACAAAUUCCUUAAAGGGAGGACUGAGGAGUCAAUGGGCUACCAGGCUCAGGGACAAAAAGAAGAGGUCUCACUCGGGACCUGAGCCAAGGUGAGCGUCUGCUGCAGCAGGGAGGCAGAAAGAGCCCGGGUAGGGAGCCCAGGGUUCUGCCAGGCAGAGCAGGAGACCCGCAGGGCCAAGUCCCCGUGGGACAGAUCUCAGGAGAGCUCCUAUGGCCCAAGGUUUUAAAACUGUAGAACUGAGAGCAAUUGCUGUUGAUAUGACCAAGGUAAAUCACUCCCCUGAAUCUGGGAGCUAAAAAGCAGAAUUAGAACUGUGAAUGCCCUAGCAAGAGUUUAUAAGACAGAAGAGGGGAGAAAUGAGAAAAAAAAAGUCUCUCACCCUACAAGAUCUGUAAAAUACCAGAGUGCUAGUGGACAAGGACACAGAGCUGUUUGGUUUCCAUUUCCUGAGACAGCACUUCUGUCCCAGCCCGCUGACCAGUUAGGCAGCCACUUCCCGUUGUGUUCAGUUUCUAAUUCCUCAGAGCACAGCAUCAGCCAGAGAACUGCUCCUCUCCUGAUUCUACCUCCGAGGCACCUGCGUCAGAGGCCUGACCUGUGGCCAGGACUUUUCACAGCAGUGAAGAAAUUUCAGCUUGAAGGUUAAGAUGGCUACUGGGGAAAUACAUUUAUCUAUUGACGCAGAAUCUGACUACGCUGAGCUGGUUUUAGAUGCAAAAAAAGUUACCCUUGGAGAGAAGGCUAGAAGCAACAUGAAUGAUCAUACACUGAAAAAACAACAGAAAAACACUAUCUUACGAGCUACAUCUGCUCUACUGAAGUGUGCAGGGGGAAUAAUCAAGAUGGAGAUUGAAAAUGAAGACUAUAGGUAUUCAGAAUGUGGAAUAGGACACGAUUUGGAAGAACGUUUUGAACAUAUGGUGCCAGAUGUUGAAAACUACUUUAAUUUCAUGCAGAAAGAAAACAACUUUUUCAUAUUUGUGAAGUCAGGUAUACAUGAUCAGCGAUAUGGAACCUUGAGCACCAAUAUGUACAGAAGGAAUUUGUCGCGUACAGAUGAAAUGAGUGAGGAUUCUGCCCUGAUGUUCCUCAAGGAACUGAAGAAAACUGAAGGGAGGUCAUAUUCAACACUGACGAUGCCUGCUGACAGAGAUUUUGUUGAUGAUAGAGACAGCAAAGACUUAGCUGCUAAAUUUUUUAACAGUGAACUACUUACAUACCAAGGAAAAAUUCCUUUUGGUGAAUCCACUCAUGUUGAAUAUGAAAAGACGCAAACAAUAAUUGGCUUGAAAAAAGGCAUGAAUAACCUCCCAGAGAUAAAAAGAAAAAUAGAAGAGGACAUUCCAAAACUGCCUGUCUAUCACUGCUGCAAGGAGAAGAAGAAGAUAAAUUACACAUGCAAAUCCAUCGAAGUUCACAACAAGGAAGGUCUUUAUGGCUAUGUUCUCGCAAUCAGAAUAGAGAGAUUCUGCUGUGCUGUGUUUGCUAAAGAACCCGAUAGCUGGCAUGUGAAAGAUAACCGCGUGGUGCAGAUGACUUCCACGGAAUGGGUGGAGUUCAUGAUGGAAGGUGAAUCUGGUUAA
This is a long non-coding RNA of Cavia porcellus (domestic guinea pig), 1671 nucleotides long. The record is from Ensembl. Lineage: Eukaryota; Metazoa; Chordata; Mammalia; Rodentia; Caviidae.